This 373-nucleotide ribosomal RNA is filed under the name uncultured bacterium. RNAcentral describes it as "bacterial SSU rRNA". It matches the Rfam family "Bacterial small subunit ribosomal RNA", at positions 521 to 896 of the family's 1533-position model. The record is from RNAcentral.
UAAUACGGAGGGUGCAAGCGUUAUCCGGAUUCACUGGGUUUAAAGGGUGCGUAGGUGGGCCUGUAAGUCAGCGGUGAAAUCUCCGGGCUUAACCCGGAAACUGCCAUUGAUACUAUAGGUCUUGAAUUAUCUGGAGGUAAGCGGAAUAUGUCAUGUAGCGGUGAAAUGCUUAGAUAUGACAUAGAACACCAAUUGCGAAGGCAGCUUACUACGGAUAUAUUGACACUGAGGCACGAAAGCGUGGGGAUCAAACAGGAUUAGAUACCCUGGUAGUCCACGCCCUAAACUAUGGAUACUCGACAUUUGUGAUAUACUAUAAGUGUCUGAGCGAAAGCAUUAAGUAUCCCACCUGGGAAGUACGACCGCAAGGUUG